UACGUAGGGGGCAAGCGUUGUCCGGAUUCAUUGGGCGUAAAGAGCGUGUAGGCGGCCAGGUAGGUCGGUUGUGAAAACUGGAGGCUCAACCUUCAGAGGUCGACCGAAACCAUCUGGCUAGAGUCCGGGAGAGGAGAGUGGAAUUCCUGGUGUAGCGGUGAAAUGCGCAGAUAUCAGGAAGAACACCCGUGGCGGCAGCGGCUCUCUUGAACGGUACUGACGCUGAGAGACGAAAGCUAGGGGAGCAAAUGGG
Molecule: ribosomal RNA, 253 nt
Filed under: uncultured bacterium
Lineage: Bacteria
Description: partial 16S ribosomal RNA
Rfam family: Bacterial small subunit ribosomal RNA
Source: RNAcentral